AUGGCAGCACGGAGAAGCUUGUCUGCCCUGACCUUGGGAAGAAAUGCCACUUGGUGAACGCCCUAAGGAGCGGAGCCUGCUGGAAUCUUCCUGACACCUGAGCAGCACGAGAUCAUCCCAUACAAGGAUGAUAAUAAAGCACUAAGAGUGUUGCUGAUGUGGCGAUAUGUGAUAGGUUACAUAGUGAAAAAAACUUACAAGGAAAUAGUGGGUCUUGAAGAAGGGUAUAAAACAGCUCCUAUCUCUGAUAAAUAUCUCAGUAUCUCUGCAGGUCUGAGUCCAUGCCUCCUUUGUUUACACAUGGUGGAGCCAUGGGCUGGGCAGGAGCCUGGGUGGGGACUGAGGGGUCUCUGCUUUUAAGGCAUGGCCAGGGUCUCCUGGAUGGGACAGGGGUGGUUGGUGUGCUGGUGCAAGGUGGCAAAGCCCCGCUGACCCCACCAGCCGCCCAUGGAAAACAUCUCAUUCUUUCCUCCCAAGGCACCGGGGUUAGAGCAGACUCAUCGCAGCUCUCGCUCCAACCAUCAUGGACUUCCAGCUACUCGUGAUUGCAUUCCUUCUGGGAUUCAUCAUGGGACUUCUACUUCUAACACUAUGCAAAGAGAGGAUAGCCAUGAAAAUAAGCAAGGGAUCUUUUUCCUUCUCUUUUGAAGUUGGGGGGAAACAAAGGGUCAGCCCCACAGGCUGCAGCCAAUGCCAUGGUGACCACAAGAAGAAAGCCUGAUUACCAUGGCCAGUGAACAGAAGGUGAUUUCCUUCCUUCCAAGCAGCCUGCUUCAUUUCUUCCCACAGCAUGGACUAGAAUGCUCCCACUGACCAGCAGCUGCCCCUUUAACAUAUUUGGAUGGCUUUGAUCAAUCAAUGCCUUUAAAGCUUUAAUAAAAGUGCGUUGCUGGUGUGGGUGUGUGUGGUGGUGAUUGUUGUGCAUCGUGGCUCAGGUUCCUGCCCCACAGCUGGGCAUUUGCCGUGCUCCAGGAAGGGAUUGCCCAGGCAGAGUUUCCAGCCUUGCUCCCUGUGCCCCUGCCCAGCCAGGGGCUGGCUCCCACUGCAGCCUGACAGUGCUGGCAGUCCCUGGGAGCCCAGCACUGCUGCAGCAAAUGCCCAGGGCAGCAUGGCACUGCCCUGCAGGGCCGGCAGAGCCCCAGGGGUGCAGUGGGUGCAUCUCUGCAGCCUGGGGCUCAGGACAGCCACUCUCUCUGAUUUGGGCUGGGACAGGGGAGCUGCUCCUGCCAGACACGCUGUGCCCCACUGCUCCUGCUGGGCUGGGACCUUGUCUUGGCUCCUGGGAGCCGUGUCUGGGAUCCUCAGGGCGGGAUCCCUGGGCACCAGCCAUGGGGGAGCUGCUGGGGUGCUGCCAGAGCAUCCUGGGGGGGCAUGGCUUGCACCACAAGCUCUGGUGGCUUUGGAGACCUGC
Long non-coding RNA from Passer montanus (Eurasian tree sparrow), 1411 nucleotides. RefSeq lists it as uncharacterized. Lineage: Eukaryota; Metazoa; Chordata; Aves; Passeriformes; Passeridae. The record is from RefSeq and is a predicted model, not a curated record. The transcript has 4 exons.